Molecule: small RNA, 72 nt
Rfam family: Singlet oxygen resistance RNA X
About the family: SorX (RSs2461)like SorY is a singlet oxygen induced sRNA that counteracts oxidative stress by targeting mRNA for a transporter in Rhodobacter. It also has an impact on resistance against organic hydroperoxides.
Source: Rfam
ACACCGCGCAUAUCCGGGUUAAGAUAUGUACCUCCCUGUUGGACUGGUCCGGACAUGUUCCGGACCUCUUUU